This is a non-coding RNA of Pelobates cultripes (western spadefoot toad), 621 nucleotides long. NCBI's taxonomy places the organism in Eukaryota, Metazoa, Chordata, Amphibia, Anura, Pelobatidae. The record is from the annotation of a GenBank genome assembly.
GCAUCAAUUCAUUUCAAAUUUCUGUUUAAUUUCGUAAUAGUUCAUAACAUUUUAUACAUUUUUUUGAAACAUUAAUAUUUUUAUGCACUUUUUUUCAGGUAGUUUUUUGUCUCUUUUUUAUACACAAAAUCAUUGUGAAAUGUAUCCACUCAACUCCGAAUUGUAGCAAAUAGAAAAUCAGAUUGCAAAAUUCAGCCUAUGCCGUGUCUAGUAAGAUAUGGGCUGACAUUUCUGAAUGAGCAAUUUCUGCCUAAAUUUUGAAAUUCAUUUUUCAAGUCACUUCAAUAUGGCGUUUAGGGAACAGACAAUUAAAUCUUUAAUCAGUUGAUGGUGUUAUCCUGUCACCAUUUUAAUUUCAUACAUAAGAGCAAGCUAAGAUCUGGAAUUUGCGAGAGGCACAGUCUGAUCCAUCCUGAAUCACUGACUGAAACCUAAUCUAACGAGGUAUGAUGCAGAACUGGUAAUUUUGUGGGAGGUUUCCUACCCCACUUAUUGAUGGAGUGAGGUCGAUGAGGUCAGGAUGUUGAAUGGGCUGGAAAUCAAAGCUUUGUAGAAUGGUGGUAAAAAAGAUAAAAAGCUCCAUACGUGCCAAACCCUCUCCCAGGCAGAUACGCUUUCCUG